AUAACUCCGAGAAAUCGGGGCUAAUACUGGAUAUGACCUUGNCCCGCAUGGGUUGUGGUGGAAARUUUUUCGGUGGGGGAUGGGCUCGCGGCCUAUCAGUUUGUUGGUGAGGUAGUGGCUCACCAAGGCGAUGACGGGUAGCCGGCCUGAGAGGGCGACCGGCCACACUGGGACUGAGACACGGCCCAGACUCCUACGGGAGGCAGCAGUGGGGAAUAUUGCACAAUGGGCGAAAGCCUGAUGCAGCGACGCCGCGUGGGGGAUGACGGCCUUCGGGUUGUAAACCUCUUUCAGCAAGGAAGAAGCGAAAGUGACGGUACUUGCAGAAGAAGCGCCGGCUAACUACGUGCCAGCAGCCGCGGUAAUACGUAGGGCGCAAGCGUUGUCCGGAAUUAUUGGGCGUAAAGGGCUUGUAGGUGGCUUGUCGCGUCUGCCGUGAAAACUCGAGGCUUAACYUUGGGCGUGCGGUGGGUACGGGCAGGCUAGAGUGCGGUAGGGGAGACUGGAAUUCCUGGUGUAGCGGUGAAAUGCGCARAUAUCAGGAGGAACACCGAUGGCGAARGCAGGUCCUCUGGGCCGUUACUGACACUGAGAARCGAAAGCAUGGGGAGCGAACAGGAUUAGAUACCCUGGUAGUCCAUGCCGUAAACGU
This 652-nucleotide ribosomal RNA is filed under the name Dermabacter sp. MUU6. Its description in RNAcentral is "bacterial SSU rRNA". It matches the Rfam family "Bacterial small subunit ribosomal RNA", at positions 143 to 809 of the family's 1533-position model. Lineage: Bacteria; Bacillati; Actinomycetota; Actinomycetes; Micrococcales; Dermabacteraceae. The record is from RNAcentral.